UACGGGGGGGCAAGCGUUGUUCGGAAUUACUGGGCGUAAAGGGCUCGUAGGCGGCCAACUAAGUCGGACGUGAAAUCCCUCGGCUUAACCGGGGAACUGCGUCCGAUACUGGAUGGCUGGAGGUUGGGAGAGGGAUGCGGAAUUCCAGGUGUAGCGGUGAAAUGCGUAGAUAUCUGGAGGAACACCGGUGGCGAAGGCGGCAUCCUGGACCAAUUCUGACGCUGAGUGAGCGAAAGCCAGGGGAGCAAACGGG
Molecule: ribosomal RNA, 253 nt
Filed under: uncultured bacterium
Lineage: Bacteria
Description: partial 16S ribosomal RNA
Rfam family: Bacterial small subunit ribosomal RNA
Source: RNAcentral